GAGUUCGGUUAAGAUUUGCAGUUGAAAGUACACUCUGAGUAUGAAUUACUCUCAUAACUUUCAGGGAAAGUCCUUGGAUUAACUUUAGAGGAAACUCAUGUCGAUAAUUGGCUAGUAAUCAGCUAUAGCUCUUACAAACGCAGCAUUCUGUAGCAAGACAAAGUAGCUGAUAACCAUCAAAGCUAAAGUAUAAAAUUGCAAAUGACACGUAGUGUUAACACAAUAGGGCUUACUCUAACUGAACU
Molecule: RNase MRP RNA, 245 nt
Filed under: Hofstenia miamia
Lineage: Eukaryota; Metazoa; Xenacoelomorpha; Acoela; Hofsteniidae
Description: rNase MRP
Rfam family: RNase MRP
About the family: RNase MRP is an enzymatically active ribonucleoprotein with two distinct roles in eukaryotes. In mitochondria it plays a direct role in the initiation of mitochondrial DNA replication.
Source: RNAcentral